This 186-nucleotide ribosomal RNA is filed under the name Lasiurus cinereus (hoary bat). Its description in RNAcentral is "Aeorestes cinereus (hoary bat) partial 16S ribosomal RNA". Lineage: Eukaryota; Metazoa; Chordata; Mammalia; Chiroptera; Vespertilionidae. The record is from RNAcentral.
AGAAGCAAUAAUGUUAAUAUGAGUAACAAGAAUUAUUUCUCCUUGCAUACGUGUAUAUCAGAACGGAUGACCCACUGAUAGUUAUCAAAACUAACAUGCCCACAAACAAGAAUCCAUAGUAAAUUGUUAAUCCAACACAGGAAUGCAGAUAAAGGAAAGAUUCAAAAGAAGUAAAAGGAACUCGGC